RNAcentral lists this ribosomal RNA (520 nucleotides) under uncultured Paraglomus. RNAcentral describes it as "bacterial SSU rRNA". It matches the Rfam family "Eukaryotic small subunit ribosomal RNA", at positions 569 to 1088 of the family's 1831-position model. The record is from RNAcentral. Lineage: Eukaryota; Fungi; Glomeromycota; Glomeromycetes; Paraglomerales; Paraglomeraceae.
AGCAGCCGCGGUAAUUCCAGCUCCAAUAGCGUAUAUUAAAGUUGUUGCAGUUAAAAAGCUCGUAGUUGAACCUUAGGCCCGUGCGGGCGGUCCGUCCUCAGGGCGAGCACUGCUUCGUCGCGGGUCUCACCUUCUGGCGAGCGUGGAUGCCAUUUAUUUGGUGUCUGCGGGAACCAGGACCUUUACCUUGAAAAAAUUAGAGUGCUCAAAGCGGGCUCAUGCGCUUGAAUACAUUAGCAUGGAAUAAUGAAAUAGGACGAUGGUUCUAUUUUGUUGGUUUCCGGGACGUCGUAAUGAUUAAUAGGGAUAGUUGGGGGCAUUCGUAUUCAAUUGUCAGAGGUGAAAUUCUUGGAUUUAUUGAAGACGGACUAACUGCGAAAGCAUUUGCCAAGGAUGUUUUCAUUAAUCAAGAACGAAAGUUGGGGGAUCGAAGACGAUCAGAUACCGUCGUAGUCUCAACCAUAAACUAUAGCCGACUGGGAAUCGGACGAUGUUAUUUUUUGUGACUCGUUCGCGACCC